RNAcentral lists this ribosomal RNA (678 nucleotides) under Triticum aestivum (bread wheat). Its description in RNAcentral is "partial small subunit ribosomal RNA". Lineage: Eukaryota; Viridiplantae; Streptophyta; Magnoliopsida; Poales; Poaceae. The record is from RNAcentral.
GUCGUCGACCAUGACCUCCUCAGCCAGGAGGGAGAGCGCACCACCAUCGUCUCCAAGAUUCUCGCCACUCACUUUGGCCCUGCCCGCCGUCUCUCCUUCAGUCGCCCUAGCGGCAUCCGCCUCUGCCGCAAGCUCUAUGGCAAAUUCGAUGGCUGGUUCCGGUCCCCUUCCCUCAAUGGCCUUGAGGAGCUCUACUUGUCUAGCGACGACAAGUCGCCGUGCCCGCUGCCGCCGCCCGUGCUCCGCCUCGCUCACACGCUGCACAUUGCCAGCAUCGGUGGCUGUGAUUUUACCGAGAUUAAUGCUGCCCGCACACAUAGCUUCCCUCGGCUGAAGAAACUCAAACUCUACGAUGUCUCCAUCUCGGAGGCGACCCUCCACCGCCUGCUUGCCGGCUGCACUAUGCUUGAUCUUCGAUGGAUACGUGGGCUCAGCAGCAUCCGGAUCGUCUCGCCGACUCUCCGAAGUAUUCGCGUAUCUGUUUGUGACCACUAUGAUGAAGAGCCUGUGUUCCCGGAACUUGUUAUUGAGGAUGCACCUUGCCUUGAAAGAUUGACCCCACAUGGUUUAAAUGGUAGCCCAAGGACAAUCAGGGUGAUCGCGGCGCCUAAACUGACGGUGUUGGGCUACCUGUCUAGGCAAAUCUACGAGCUUAUUAUUGGAACCAUAAGGGUUAAG